GGAUCAAUUUACUGGUCGUGCUAUCGUACGUACUGGUUUUAUUGAUUCCUACCUUCUGACAAACCAUGAUGUCAUUAAUUUGGUGUCAUGGGGAAUCAGGACUGUUACUUUGAAAAAAUUAGUGUUUAAAGCAGGCUCACGCUUGAAUACAUUAGCAUGGAAUAACGAAAUAGAACGUUUGAUUCUAUUUUGUUGGUUUCUAGGAUCGACGUA
This 213-nucleotide ribosomal RNA is filed under the name uncultured Glomeromycotina. RNAcentral describes it as "partial small subunit ribosomal RNA". The stretch from base 37 to 213 matches the Rfam family "Eukaryotic small subunit ribosomal RNA", at positions 684 to 864 of the family's 1831-position model. The record is from RNAcentral. Lineage: Eukaryota; Fungi; Glomeromycota.